AGAGUUUGAUCCUGGCUCAGGACGAACGCUGGCGGCGCGCCUAACACAUGCAAGUCGAACGGAGUUGAGAGGAGCUUGCUUUUCUUGACUUAGUGGCGAACGGGUGAGUAACGCGUGAGUAACCUGCCCUUGAGUGGGGGACAACAGUUGGAAACGACUGCUAAUACCGCAUAAGACCACAGAGCCGCAUGGCUCAGAGGUAAAAGGAUUUAUUCGCUCAAGGAUGGACUCGCGUCCAAUUAGCUAGUUGGUGAGGUAACGGCCCACCAAGGCGACGAUUGGUAGCCGG
RNAcentral lists this ribosomal RNA (289 nucleotides) under uncultured bacterium. RNAcentral describes it as "partial 16S ribosomal RNA". It matches the Rfam family "Bacterial small subunit ribosomal RNA", at positions 8 to 290 of the family's 1533-position model. The record is from RNAcentral.